This 250-nucleotide ribosomal RNA is filed under the name uncultured bacterium. RNAcentral describes it as "partial 16S ribosomal RNA". It matches the Rfam family "Bacterial small subunit ribosomal RNA", at positions 526 to 779 of the family's 1533-position model. The record is from RNAcentral.
CGUAGGUGCGAGCGUUGUCCGGAUUAUUGGGCGUAAAGGGCUCGUAGGUGGUUGAUCGCGUCGGAAGUGUAAUCUUGGGCUUAACCCUGAGCGUGCUUUCGAUACGGGUUGACUUGAGGAAGGUAGGGAGAAUGGAAUUCCUGGUGGAGCGGUGGAAUGCGCAGAUAUCAGGAGGAACACCAGUGGCGAAGGCGGUUCUCUGGGCCUUUCCUGACGCUGAGGAGCGAAAGCGUGGGGAGCGAACAGGCUU